CAUUUUCACGAUAUUAAUUCUUCCUAACCAUGAACAUGGAAUGUUUCUCCAUCUGUUUGUGUCCUCUCUGAUUUCGUUGAGCAGUGGUUUGUAGUUCUCCUUGAAGAGGUCCCUUACGUUCCUUGUGAGUUGUAUUCCUAGGUAUUUUAUUCUUUUUGUAGCAAUUGUGAAUGGCAGUUCGCUCUUGAUUUGGCUUUCUUUAAGUCUGUUAUUGGUGUAGACGAAUGCUUGUGAUUUUUGCACAUUGAUUUUAUAUCCUGAGACUUUGCUGAAGUUGUUUAUCAGUUUCAGGAGUUUUUGGGCUGAGGCGAUGGGGUCUUCUAGGUAUACUAUCAUGUCGUCUGCAAAUAGAGACAAUUUGGCUUCCACCUUUCCUAUUUGAAUACCCUUUAUUUCUUCUUUUUGUUUUGUAAUCUUCAUGACAAUCCCACACGAGAGACUCAUUUUACAGUUGUAAAUAAUGGGCCAAGUGUGGCGGCUUAUGCCUGUAAUCCCAGCACUUUGGGAAGCCGAGGUGGGUGGAUCACGACGUCAGGAGCUCAAGACCAGUCUGGCCAACAUGGUGAAACCCCGUCUCUAGUAAAAAUACAAAAAAUAUUAGCUGGGUGUGAUGGCACAUGCCUGGAAUCCUAGCUACUCUGGAGGCUGAGGCAGGAGAAUUGCUUGAACCGGGGAGUCAGAGGUUGCAGUGAGCUGAGAUUGUGUCACUGUACUCCAGCCUGGGCAACAGAGUGAGACUCUCAAGAAAAAAAAAAAAAAAGCUCGGGGAGGGAGGUUAAGUUAUUGCUCCUGGUUUUACAGCCAGAAAAUGGUGUUGCUGCCUUAGAAUAGGCACUUGAUUACAACUCUCUAAAUGACACCAUCUCCCUGCUCAAGUCAAGGACACAGAAACACAGUGGAAGAAGUGUCAACUGAAGGUUAAGCUGUCAGAGCCCAGGGAAGAAUCUAGUUUCCUGAGAACUCCACUGCAUCCCCAUUCCUAGAAAAGUCUCCUUGGGUUGGACUGGAAAGCCGUUUGGUACCAGGUGAUGCCCACCAUUGAUCAGAGCUGGUAGGUCUGGGGGUGGACA
RNAcentral lists this long non-coding RNA (1070 nucleotides) under Callithrix jacchus (white-tufted-ear marmoset). Its description in RNAcentral is "lncRNA (ENSCJAG00000083561.1)". The record is from RNAcentral. Lineage: Eukaryota; Metazoa; Chordata; Mammalia; Primates; Cebidae.